RNAcentral lists this small RNA (752 nucleotides) under Arabidopsis thaliana (thale cress). Its description in RNAcentral is "ATSL209990". Lineage: Eukaryota; Viridiplantae; Streptophyta; Magnoliopsida; Brassicales; Brassicaceae. The record is from RNAcentral.
CCAUAAAUAUAUUAACGAAAAGAUACGACAAAAAAACACGACUGUAAAACAAACAUUAAAUAUUUUAACGAAAAGUUAUGAUAAAAAAUGCAACCGUUUAGAAAUGCAAAAACAUUUAUUGAGAUUGUUAUUGCUAUUAGAUUCCAAAAAACUUUGGUUAGAUCAAGAACUAGAGGUAUUAUUUUCAUAUUAAAAUGAUGUAUGUAAGUAUGUUUAUAAAUAGUUUAGAGAGUAAAGAAUGUGGAGCCGUUUUCCAGAUUAAUGUUUUUGAAUUGAUCAUUAAGCAAAUAAUAUGUGUGAAUGAACAAAAAUAUGGUUAGGAAGAAAGACAAAUAUAGAGUUCAACCGACUUUGAAUAAACAACUUUGUUUAUCCGAAAAUAGUGACAAAAAAUGCAAAGAAAUCUAAUGAAGAGACGUAACUUUAAAUGAAUAGAUGCAACAAUAAAGACACAACCGCAAACUGAAAAGAUACGACUGUAGUUGAACAAAUAUAACUGCAAAAAAAUUAACCGUAAAUAUUUUAACAAACAAAUACGAUAAAAAGAUGGGAGAUUUGCAAAACUAUCAUUUUUCUACUACCUUUUGCAACAAUACCCGUUCAUGUUGUUCAUUUUUAAAAAUACUCUUUCCCUUGAACAUAAUGAUUAAAUUACCCUCAUCAAAUAGGAACAUGUAAUUGGAAACUGAAAUUUUCCCGCCAAAAAAAAAAUUUCGCCAAACUUUUUUCCCGCAAAAAAAAAUUUCUCGCCA